This 246-nucleotide long non-coding RNA is filed under the name Lathyrus oleraceus (garden pea). Its description in RNAcentral is "Pisum sativum (pea) long non-coding RNA (PSAT_LNC014829)". Lineage: Eukaryota; Viridiplantae; Streptophyta; Magnoliopsida; Fabales; Fabaceae. The record is from RNAcentral.
ACCUCUCAGGGUAAUCGAUUACACCUGAAUGUUUUCCAGAUUUUUUCUUUUUAUUAAAUGUGUGUUAUUUGUCUAUGUUUUAACCAUUAUGUAUGGACAAGUUAUUUUAUAUUAAGUUAUGUUCUUUUGGUUGUUUUGUUAUUUGUUUAUAUGUUCAUAUUAUUUGCUAUAUUAUCAUACAACAUAUGGUUGUUCAUUGUUUAGUCUUUCCCAUCCUUUUUGCUAAUGACAAAGGGGGGGAAGAUA